UAAUCAGCUUCUUCAAUUCCUUCUUCUCUCAUUUCUUCAACCUCAUUAAUUCCUUCGUCACUAUUAAUCUAUAUUAUCAUUUUAUUCAUCCUUCUUCAAUUUCAUCUUCAACACCAAAUUCCUCUUUUAUCAAAAAAAAUCAUCAAACCCAUAUCUCACUACACAACAACAAAAACACCAAAAUCAUCUUCUAUCAACACAAACUCAUAAAUUCUAACAACACAAUAUCAUAAAUUCAUUCUUGUCACCGAACUUUAACAAGUUCCUGCCUGCGUGCAACAACACACAGAUCUGAAUUUUCGGUACAACAAAGAAGAGGGCGACGGAGCGGCUGUUGCAAGAGGACGAGGCGGUGGUUGCAGGAGGAGAAGGUGACGAAUCAGAGGCUUUUAUUUUCUUUUUCACUUUCCUCUCUGUGUAAAUUUGAAUUUUGAUUGCAAUUGUGUUUGUUUGUAACGAGAUGUGUUGGUGGUUUGAUGAUGAGAAAGGAUGUCUGUAAUACUGAUUAUGGGUUUGGUUGAAGUAGGCUUGUUCAAUUUUUAUGUAUUUUUUGUUUAAUUAAAAUUAAGCUUUUUAAUUUUGAUUUCAGAAAAUCAAUUUUCAAAAUAAAAAAUCAGUUUUUUAAUUAUAAAAUAAUAAAAAAGCCAAUUAAGAUGCCACAUGG
RNAcentral lists this long non-coding RNA (664 nucleotides) under Medicago truncatula (barrel medic). RNAcentral describes it as "long non-coding RNA (MTRU_LNC008120)". Lineage: Eukaryota; Viridiplantae; Streptophyta; Magnoliopsida; Fabales; Fabaceae. The record is from RNAcentral.